CCGCAACUUUUGCACCAUUUCCAACUUGUAGAUUAAUUUCUCCUUUCUUCAACCUUCUACUUAUUUGGAACCCCUGCAACAUAGUGCAGAUGUUAUAACCACUGCCAGUAUCUAAUACCCACAAUGAAACAUCAGUAGUAGUUAAAGAAACUUUGAAAUCAUUUUUCAGUUGAGUCUUACCUUGUUUCUUAUCAUUUAGAGUUGCAAGAUACUCCGGGCAGUUUCUCUUCCAAUGUCCUAUCUUCUUACAGUGGAAACACUCAGCGUUAUAUUGGUCGGCUUUGCCUUUUUUGCCUUUGGGUUUGGUCACACCACCCUUAGGUGCAAUAGGUUUCUUCUUGGGUUUAAUUUUAUUCUUACCCUUCUUCUUAGAAGAGUUUCCAACCAACAUGACGGUUCCUUUCUUCUUCUCAGAUGCAAGUUGAUUCUCAUAAUCAAUCAGCAUGUUGAGCAUCUCAUGAAGAUCACAAUCCAUUUUAUUCAUAUUAAAAUUAAUAACAAAUUGUGAAAAGGAUUCUGAUAGUGACUGCAAGAUCAAAUCUUGAGAAAGCUCUUUACCCAGUUUGCACCCCAACUUCUCAAGUUCUUCAAUAAGAUCAAUCAUACGAUUAACAUAGGGUCCAACUGGAGAGUUUCCAGUCAAUUUGGAUCCAAAUAAAGCCUUAGAUAGCUGGUAUCUAUCUGUCCUGCUUUGUGUACCAAACAUCUUCUUAAGUUGUUCAAUGAUUGCAGUUGGAUCCAUAUCCUGAUGUUUCCUUUGUAGUUCAGAAUUCAUAGAAGCGAGAAUGAUGCAUUUGGUAGUAAGACAUUCUUUCAAGUAUUUCUGAUAAAUCUUGGUGGCAUCAUCAUCAUUUUCAUCUAGGACUUCCUUGGCAGGCUUAUCGAUCACAUGAAUAAGUUUUUUAUGCAUGAGAACAAUUCUCAAAUUUCUGUACCAAUCAUCAAAGUUUGGUCCUACCAACUUGUUGGUCUCAAGUAUUCCACGUAGUGAUAUAACAGACAUAUUGAGAAAUCUAAAAUAUAGAAAAGAAAAGGCAAUAAUAUAAGAAAAUAUUUGCAUAUAUCAUAAAGACAUGGACUUUUAUCUAUAUGAUAUUUUUACUAAUUAUUUUAAACUAUUUACCCUCAUUAUAGUUUACGAAAUCUUUAUUUCUGUUAGUGGAGUAAAGAAAUCUUUUAACAAUAUGUAUGAGCCCCUUGGAAGUCAAGUCGUUUCUCACAUAUAUUUUAAAGGUAGGUACUCUUACCAAUUGUAUCCCUAUACAACUUCCUUAAAUAGCUCUAUGUCAAAUAGUCCCCUGGUAUCCAGGUCGAUCCUAUUGGCAUAAUUGAGUUGAACCAUCAUGAUAGCAAAGAACUUAUUAAAUUUUAUACUCCCCCGGGUAGUCCAGGCGUCUAGUGUAAAAUUGAAUAAUUCUUUCAAUUCAUACAUCUAUUGCAAAUAAAUAAUUAUAACAUAUUCUCGAACUAUAAGUCUCCUGGUUGUCAGGCCGCUCCUUAUAAACAAGAAGUAAGUAAAAUUAUUUACUUUGAUGGAUAACUCUAUAAUAAAAUAUCUUAUAUUUUAUUAUUCAAGAACUCAAAUUUUUAAUAAGAGGGAAUUGUUACUAAAACAAUUUUUAAUAACAUGAAGAUCAAAUCUUUUAUAGCAUGUGAAUUUAGUUCAAGUUGUCUACGUGCUUAGUCCUAAAUUAAUUUACAUCACAUAUAAUAAAUAAUUCAAAAUUAUGUAAUGAACAAGCACAUGACAUAAAAACGAAAUUCAACAUCCUCUAACAUGUUUAUCUUAUAUAUAUUACAUAAAAGAAUUCAUGCUAGAAUAUUGUUAUUAAUUAACAUCUCAUGAACUAAUAACAAUUAAAAAUAACCAUAGAAUCAUGUAACCUAUUAAAGAUUCCCAUUGUAUCUAAUACAAAAUUUCAAAUUCAAGUUAUGAACUAUCUCAAUAGUUAUAUGAAUGCAUAAUUUAUCCACAACAAAAUAAUAGCAACAUUCAAACGAUUUGACUAUUGCAUAAGACACAUGUAUUAUGGUUUGAACUAUUCAAAUAUAAUAUUAAAAUAUUUCGUAAAUAAAUUUUAGACACAAUAAACCACGACUCUGAUACCACUGUAGGAUUGUGUAUAGGUGUUUGUAAUACGCAGCGGAAGACAAUAACAAUCCUAGGAAGAUCUUUUCGUGUUUAAAAUUUAUUUACAUGCCAAAGAUCGGAUCUAAGACGUACCUAGUAAAGAGUGUCUCGUUUGAAAAUUUCUUCGAUAGUGCGAAGACUCUAUGCGUAUCCACACCGAGACCGAUCCUUGCUAUCAAUUCUUUGAUCAAUGAAACCCGCGAACAAAUUAAACGAAAUAUUUUGUUGAAAUGUUUCUCAAAAACUUCAACUAAAAUAGAAAGAACAAGAAACUAAGUUUUCUUGUCAAG
Molecule: long non-coding RNA, 2421 nt
Filed under: Nicotiana tabacum (common tobacco)
Lineage: Eukaryota; Viridiplantae; Streptophyta; Magnoliopsida; Solanales; Solanaceae
Description: long non-coding RNA (NTAB_LNC015438)
Source: RNAcentral